Molecule: long non-coding RNA, 212 nt
Organism: Asparagus officinalis (garden asparagus)
Lineage: Eukaryota; Viridiplantae; Streptophyta; Magnoliopsida; Asparagales; Asparagaceae
Exons: 3
Source: RefSeq, a predicted model, not a curated record
GCUGAGCUGAGUCCGGCCUGAUUCCUCUGCCGCUGAGUUGGGCAGGCGCGGAGAUGUCGACGCUUCUUCCUUCAAAUCUCCCAAUUCCACUGGAGGGGAUGGUUUGUUCAACGGUUUCUCUGGAUCGAUGCAGCGGGCUGCGGGGAAUCAGCAGCAGCAGCAGCAUUUUCAUCAGGCUCAGCAGCAGAAUUUUGGGGCGGCGCCGGCUUCGG